GGUAACGUAACUGAAUUAAUAAAACGUGCUUUUUUCUCAGCUUAAUGUGCAAAAAAAAUAAUAUCUUCAUUUACAAUAGUAGUCACAGAAUAAGUCCAAUAGGAUUUGAUGAAACCAUCUACAAAACGAAUCUGAAAAAUUGUGUGCUUACUUUAUUUUGUACGGUUUUAAAAACUGGAGGAGGUGAUUCAUUGUGCAUCUGACGAAAAUAGAUUCCCGUUAUAACCAAACACGCAAUGGAGCUGAAAGAUGGCGACGAGCGUAUGAUGCGACUUCUGUAUCUUACGUGUCGAGCAUGCAACGACUUUGCAGUUUCCUUGACUAACCAUGUAUUACAAAGCAAACAUAAUACCGAUUGGGAAAAAUGGACCAACGAUUCUUGUCGAAAGAACGGUUUAAUUCAAGAGUUUUUCAAUAAGUUUGAAAAAUCAGUUACAGACAAAUUGAUCCCCGAUAUAGAAGAAUGCGAUACAACAUUGCUCACAAAUUUACUGUCUAGGCGUCUGGCAAAGCAAGACAAAACCAUUGACGCUUGCAACCAAAUACUACGAGGCCUGCGGAACAAUAUGGCACACGGGCAAACACGUUUUUUGUCAGCAGCCGAAUAUGACGGAAAAGUUACUCAUUUAGUUGAACAAAUCAAAGAAUGUGGCAAAACUUCAAGUUUAACACAAGUGUGCGAUGAUAUUAUCAAGUUUGUGGAAAAUAAUAAAACACUGAAGUUCACAUCGUUUCUAGCAAAUCAUCCGAAUGAGUUUCACAGAUUCCUAAUGUCUUUAGAAAGAGAGUUGGAAGUAAUCAAAGCAGAUUUACACGACAACUCGAAUAAUCUACAGGACGUGGUUUCACAAAUUAGCAUUUUUGAAAAACAGUUCACAAACGUCUCUACGAAAGAUGAUACUAAUGAAAUUACGAGAAAAAUGCACGAGCUACAAGCGGGAACUUCCAGCGAAAUUUAUCAUUCGGCGGCUAGACUACAGUCGAUGAUGGAAAAAGGAGCAACAAAGGACGAUACAAAUGAAAUCACUAGAAAAAUGCAGGAAAUGCAGGCAAGUACUUCCAGUGCAAUAAAUCAAAGCACGGCGAGACUUGAAUCCAUAAUAAGAAAAGAAGAAGCACAACAGAACAAUGAACGACUUGUAUCGAAUAGUCGAGAAAAAGAAUCAAACUUACCAAGCAGCAACAUACCUGAAACUCGACCAAUAGCGGGUCGUCAAGACUACCUGGAUGUAUUGAGAGAAAAAUUGGAGUCCAAGGUUGUUGUAAUUUCAGGAGCGCCCGGAAUGGGAAAAAGUACACUUGCUUGGACGUUCGCAAAACAGGAAAUGGAUACAAAUGCAUCACAAAUCUGCUUGAAUGCCUCGUUCAAGGAAUUAUCGUCUGAUCUUGAUGAAACACUUGUCAAGCCCAACGCUGUUAGACUACUGUGCCAACUGUUUCCAGCUAUUACUCAAGCAGUUAAUGACUCCCCUGAUCCUCUGCAAAUUUUGUUCGCGCACAUCAAAAAUAUUGUUCAAUCAAAAAAUCUAUUAAUUGUUCUUGACAACAUAGAUACACUUCUAGGGAAAUUCAGACAAUAUGGUAUAGUGAACGAAAUAAUCAACAAAAUUUUUGUUACUGGUGUUAGAGUUAUCUGUACAUCAAGAGAUAAAUCCUACGAUUUGGAAUUGAAUCAAUCCUUGUUCGAAACACAAGAUUUGAAACCCCUUGAAGCUGAAGAUUGCAAAAAAUGGCUACAGAAGCUGCAUAGUGAACUUGAGGAUGAAUUGAUCCAAGAAAUUGUUAGAUCGUCAGGGGGCGUUCCUUUAGUUCUAAAGAUAUUGGCAGCUCUUGUCCAGAGAAUUGACGACAUCACUGUCACUGAGCUGCGUCAGCUCAAAUCCAGUCAGGGCUUCAUUACCUUGGAAGGCAGUCUUUUAUUAUCUUUUGAAAAACUGACCAAAGAACAGUCACUUUUAAUGAAUUGUGCAAGCAUAUUUCCAGAUAGUUUCGACAAAAAAACUAUAAGCUGCAUUUUUCGAGAUUAUUCUCAAUCGAAAUUAGAUGGAAUUAUUUUGCUGAUUGACUGUCAAGGUUUGAGUCUUGUGGAGUAUGACAAAUGUUCCAAGCUAUUCUAUUUACAUCCUUUUAUUAAAGAUUACGUUCGGCUGAAAAUCAGCGACUUUGCUAAAUUGGAGCUUGUUUAUAUCAGAAAUUAUUUCGACAAGCUGCUUCAUUGGUCCCUUGCUCAGGUUGAAAAAAACAACUUCGGCCCAACCUUAGAUUCUGUGCGACGUGACUGGCACAACUUAAAUCAGUUCAUUGCCUCGUUUCGCAAUCUGGAUCUAGCUGCUACUGAUCUAAAUGAUGUUUUCCCUGUCAGCUGGAGCGGCCAAUUAUGCUUUGCUAUAUUGGCAUGUUUCUCUUUUUUGCGGAUACUCAGCAGCUUCAGAACCCUAUUGCUUCCAUUUGCUGAAAAACUAGAAGCAAUAAUGGCGGAACUAAAAGAGCCUAAUGCUCUAAUUGUUUGCAAAUGCAUAAUAUCUUCUGAACUGCGCCGAAAAAAGGUUGUGGGAAACAUCAACAAAUCAAGAAACAUUCUAAAUAAAAGCCGGGAAAUAGUUGCUGAUGAUAACUCAUUGAACACAAGCUUAGCGCGGGGCUUCUUGUAUUAUACAAUCGCUCGCUCUAUUCGGUAUAACAGCUACGGGAAAGAUACGAAACCCACAUAUUCAUUUGAUUGGGAAGAGUGGCUGAUUGCUGAUUGUUAUGAAAAAUCUGUUGAGAUGUAUGAGAAAAUUUUAACUAGCUCGGAUGCUUGGGUCGUGGAGUAUUGGCCUAUAAUAUUGUGCGAAAAAACUCGUACGCUAACAGAGUUACGCCGUGCCCAACUGGACGCGAUUACAGAUAAAAAUGACAAACCGGAUAAGCUCAAGUCAAUAAUUUCAAAGCAUCUUGCUUUCAAAGAUGAUCUGACCGAAACACUUGGAAAUCAUGAGUCAGUUGCUUACACGACUAGAAAAUUAGCCGAUCGCGUAAAAUUCAACAUUAAAGACCAGAAAGAAGCUUCCUUGUUAUAUGAAAAAUCGCAUCAGAUCUACACAAGUUUUGGCUCUGAGAUGAGUAUCCAAACUGCAAUUGUCUUGAAGGAAUGGUCAGGUUGCUGCAGCAAUGAUGAAGCUAUUGCGAAGCUACGCGAAGCAAAAAAAAUAAUGGAAGAUAAUUACAUGACAUACCACAGCGAUUAUUUUGCUAUCCGCAAACGUUUAGAAGAAAAGCUGGCUGAAGUAGUAACGAGUAAAGCAAACGGUGGUAUAUAAAUCAGUUGAAACAAAGAGGAGCUCUAACAUACACCAGCCAAAAAUACUGGGCGAUAUC
Molecule: long non-coding RNA, 3357 nt
Organism: Symsagittifera roscoffensis
Lineage: Eukaryota; Metazoa; Xenacoelomorpha; Acoela; Convolutidae
Exons: 3
Source: RefSeq, a predicted model, not a curated record